This 469-nucleotide ribosomal RNA is filed under the name uncultured bacterium. Its description in RNAcentral is "partial 16S ribosomal RNA". It matches the Rfam family "Bacterial small subunit ribosomal RNA", at positions 28 to 507 of the family's 1533-position model. The record is from RNAcentral.
GAUGAACGCUGGCGGCGUGCUUAACACAUGCAAGUCGAACGGAGAACCCGGAGCUUUCUCUGUCGGACGAGUGGCGAACGGGUGAGUAACACGUGAGCAACCUGCCCCUGACUCUGGGAUAAGCGCUGGAAACUGCGUCUAAUACUGGAUAUGAGAUAUUACCGCAUGGUGUGCGUUUGUAAAGUUUUUUCGGUUGGGGAUGGACUCGUGGCCUAUCGGCUUGUUGGUGAGGUAUUGGCUGACCAAGGUUUCGACGGGUAGCCGGCCUGAGAGGGUGACCGGCCACACUGGGACUGAGACACGGCCCAGACUCCUACGGGAGGCAGCAGUGGGGAAUAUUGCACAAUGGGCGCAAGCCUGAUGCAGCAACGCCGCGUGAGGGAUGACGGCCUUCGGGUUGUAAACCUCUUUUAGCAGGGAAGAAGCGAAAGUGACGGUACCUGCUGAAAAAGCGCCGGCUAACUACGUG